RNAcentral lists this ribosomal RNA (253 nucleotides) under uncultured bacterium. RNAcentral describes it as "partial 16S ribosomal RNA". It matches the Rfam family "Bacterial small subunit ribosomal RNA", at positions 524 to 776 of the family's 1533-position model. The record is from RNAcentral.
UACAGAGGUCCCAAGCGUUGUUCGGAUUCACUGGGCGUAAAGGGUGCGUAGGUGGUCGGGUAAGUCUGAUGUGAAAUCUCCGAGCUUAACUCGGAAAUGGCAUUGGAUACUAUUCGGCUAGAGGGUUGCAGGGGAGACUGGAAUUCCUGGUGUAGCGGUGAAAUGCGCAGAUAUCAGGAGGAGCACCGGUGGCGAAGGCGGUUCUCUGGGCAUUACCUGACGCUGAGGAGCGAAAGUGUGGGGAGCGAACAGG